This 128-nucleotide ribosomal RNA is filed under the name Nannospalax galili (Upper Galilee mountains blind mole rat). The record is from RNAcentral. Lineage: Eukaryota; Metazoa; Chordata; Mammalia; Rodentia; Spalacidae.
GUUUGUGACCACACAACCCUGAAUGUGCUGAUCCCAUCUGAUCUUGGAAGAUAAGCAGAAUCAGGCCUUGUUAGUGCUUAGAUGAGGGGAAAAAAAAAUUUCCUUUGUGAAGAUUCAUACUAUAACCA